Lotus japonicus is the source of this 1453-nucleotide long non-coding RNA. RefSeq lists it as uncharacterized. The record is from RefSeq and is a predicted model, not a curated record. The transcript is spliced from 9 exons. Lineage: Eukaryota; Viridiplantae; Streptophyta; Magnoliopsida; Fabales; Fabaceae.
UAAACCCUUUUUGUUUUUAAUUUCUGAAAAAUAGAAACCCAGGUCUCGUUCGAAAACCCUUAGCUCUUAUUCCUCUCUUCUAUGCUCCAAUGGCGAAAACUCUUUCACUGAGGUUUCUUCUUCCUUGGGAACCCUAGCUUUUUCCCUCUUCUCGCGUUCCUCUUCACGUUUCUUCUUCUCGAUUGCAAACGUUUCAGGUUCGAUCUCCACUUUGGUUUCAUCUCGUUUCUGCAAACGCUUCAGGUUCAGAUCGGUUCGAUCAUCUCGUUUCUGCAAACGCUUCAGGUUCAGGUCGGUUAGAUCAUCUCGUUUCUCCAAACGCUUCAGGUUCAGAUCGGUUCGAUCUUCUGGUUUCUGCAAACGCUUCAGGAUUGGCAACGAAGAGAUUGGGGUUUUCACAAACAGUUCCGAUCUUGAUACUUAGGGUUUGGAUUCUCUGUCUGCUUGCUGCUCUAUCUUCAUCGCCCAGGACUCAAUUCAACGCUAUGUAGAGAUUAGAGUAUUGAAAGGCUAUGUCAAUAACUUGCCUAGUGGGCUACGCAUUUUAGUUGAUUUUAAUGAGCAAGACUCAGCAUAUGGUGAUGCACAAGGUCUACUUGCUGGAUUUUUGGGAAUAUUGGCAUGUGAUUGCAAUUUGUUUCCAAUUGAUUUUGAAAGAUGGACGGGGGGAAAGUAGGCAUACCUGAAGAUUAUUUUAAUGACUGUUUUACAACAAUUAUAAAGGACCACUGAAGCCCUUGCAAAGAGAUAUUGCAAAAUUAGUAUGGGGAAGAAGUGGUCGGCGCAUAAGCAACGUUUGUGGAGUGAAUUUAAUAUUCCAACCAAAACCAUAGAUGAAAUCAUUAGAAAUGUGCCGAAUGGUAUAGACAAAGAUCAGUGGGUUCGCUUUGUCCAAUAUCGUAUGAAACCAUCUACACAGGAACGUUGUAGAAAAAAAUAAAGAAAACCGAAGCAAGCAAGUGAUUCCACACACCGGUGGUUCUAAAGCUAACUCAAGAAGAAGACAUGAGAUAUUCUUAGAAACUGGGAAGCUACCAAGUCGUGCACAAAUGUAUAUUCUAACUCAUACGAAAAAGGAUGGAUCCUUUGUCAAUGAUGCAGCGAAGGGUGUAGUGAGAAUGCAUUUAAGGCCUACCUUAUAAUGAAGGAAGGAAGGAUACCUGAAGAAAUGGCUCGCUUCUUUGCUCCUGAAUCACAUGGAUCCACACCAUGCUCUUUUCAACCAACAUAGCUCCAAUGUAAGAUUGAAAUGGUAAUUGAUACUGAAAGGGAAUCUGCGACAGAUUUGGAAGCAAGCGGAUCAUGGAGUGUUUGUUAUUUUAGAUCUUAAGUGGUUGUGCACUUUGUUAGUGUUAUUUUAGAUAUUGUAUGAAUUAAUGAUUUCAUAAAAUUUUUGAUCUGUUUGAGGUCAUGGUAAGAAAGUUGUUUGAUCAAUUAAAAAAAAAAAAAAACA